ACUAAUAUUAAUUUACAAUGACAUGUGGCACUCACUGGUGUGAUGAUUUGUCACUCAUAUGGAGAGAGUUGGCCAACUUUCAUAUAUAUAAUUUCUCUUCAAUUGUAUUUUGUUUUU
RNAcentral lists this small RNA (117 nucleotides) under Arabidopsis thaliana (thale cress). Its description in RNAcentral is "ATSL156660". Lineage: Eukaryota; Viridiplantae; Streptophyta; Magnoliopsida; Brassicales; Brassicaceae. The record is from RNAcentral.